UACGAGGGGAGCUAGCGUUGUUCGGAAUUACUGGGCGUAAAGGGCGUGUAGGCGGUAUCAUAAGUCAGAUGUGAAAGCCCUAGGCUUAACCUAGGAGGUGCAUUUGAUACUGUGAAACUAGAGAUCGAGAGAGGAAAGUGGAAUUACGAGUGUAGAGGUGAAAUUCGUAGAUAUUCGUAAGAACACCAGUGGCGAAGGCGACUUUCUGGCUCGAUACUGACGCUAAGGCGUGAAAGCGUGGGGAGCACACAGG
This 253-nucleotide ribosomal RNA is filed under the name uncultured bacterium. Its description in RNAcentral is "partial 16S ribosomal RNA". It matches the Rfam family "Bacterial small subunit ribosomal RNA", at positions 524 to 776 of the family's 1533-position model. The record is from RNAcentral.